GAUGAACGCUGGCGGCGUGCCUAAUACAUGCAAGUCGAGCGAACAGACGAGGAGCUUGCUCCUCUGACGUUAGCGGCGGACGGGUGAGUAACACGUGGAUAACCUACCUAUAAGACUGGGAUAACUUCGGGAAACCGGAGCUAAUACCGGAUAAUAUAUUGAACCGCAUGGUUCAAUAGUGAAAGACGGUUUUGCUGUCACUUAUAGAUGGAUCCGCGCCGCAUUAGCUAGUUGGUAAGGUAACGGCUUACCAAGGCAACGAUGCGUAGCCGACCUGAGAGGGUGAUCGGCCACACUGGAACUGGGACACGGUCCAGACUCCUACGGGAGGCAGCAGUAGGGAAUCUUCCGCAAUGGGCGAAAGCCUGACGGAGCAACGCCGCGUGAGUGAUGAAGGUCUUCGGAUCGUAAAACUCUGUUAUUAGGGAAGAACAAAUGUGUAAGUAUCUAUGCACGUCUUGACGGUACCUAAUCAGAAAGCCACGGCUAACUACGUG
RNAcentral lists this ribosomal RNA (497 nucleotides) under uncultured bacterium. RNAcentral describes it as "partial 16S ribosomal RNA". It matches the Rfam family "Bacterial small subunit ribosomal RNA", at positions 28 to 507 of the family's 1533-position model. The record is from RNAcentral.